This 72-nucleotide transfer RNA is filed under the name Bambusiphaga taibaishana. RNAcentral describes it as "tRNA-Val". The record is from RNAcentral. Lineage: Eukaryota; Metazoa; Arthropoda; Insecta; Hemiptera; Delphacidae.
CAGAUAUAUAUUUUAGGAUAAAUUAAUUUUUUACAAUAAUUAAAUUAAGCUGUUCAAUUCAGUUUUAUCUGA